RNAcentral lists this ribosomal RNA (253 nucleotides) under uncultured bacterium. Its description in RNAcentral is "partial 16S ribosomal RNA". It matches the Rfam family "Bacterial small subunit ribosomal RNA", at positions 524 to 776 of the family's 1533-position model. The record is from RNAcentral.
UACAGAGGGUGCGAGCGUUAAUCGGAAUUACUGGGCGUAAAGCGUGCGUAGACGGCUAUCUAAGUCGGGUGUGAAAGCCCCGGGCUCAACCUGGGAAUGCCAUUCGAGACUGCAUAGCUAGGGUGCGGAAGAGGGAAGCGGAAUUUCAGGUGUAGCGGUGAAAUGCGUAGAUAUCUGAAGGAACACCAGUGGCGAAAGCGGCUUCCUGGUCCAGCACCGACGUUCAGGCGCGAAAGCGUGGGGAGCAAACAGG